GGGGAUAUAGCUCAGUUGGUAGAGUGCUUGCUUCACAGGCACAAGGCCCUGGGUUCAAUUCCCAGCACCA
RNAcentral lists this transfer RNA (70 nucleotides) under Ictidomys tridecemlineatus (thirteen-lined ground squirrel). RNAcentral describes it as "Spermophilus tridecemlineatus (thirteen-lined ground squirrel) tRNA". It matches the Rfam family "tRNA". From Rfam's summary of the family: Transfer RNA (tRNA) molecules are approximately 80 nucleotides in length. Their secondary structure includes four short double-helical elements and three loops (D, anti-codon, and T loops). Further hydrogen bonds mediate the characteristic L-shaped molecular structure. tRNAs have two regions of fundamental functional importance: the anti-codon, which is responsible for specific mRNA codon recognition, and the 3' end, to which the tRNAs corresponding amino acid is attached (by aminoacyl-tRNA synthetases). tRNAs cope with the degeneracy of the genetic code in two manners: having more than one tRNA (with a specific anti-codon) for a particular amino acid; and 'wobble' base-pairing, i.e. permitting non-standard base-pairing at the 3rd anti-codon position. Lineage: Eukaryota; Metazoa; Chordata; Mammalia; Rodentia; Sciuridae. The record is from Rfam by way of RNAcentral.